ACAGGUGCCAUCUACGAUGGCCGAAGAGAAAAGCCGGUAAAAGCCGGCGCGGUCCCGCCGCGGUGAGGGGAGCAAACCUGCAAAUAAGGCACUGGAUGAAAAUCUGGGAAGGCGCAGGCUAGUGAUGAACCGAGCCAUAAGAACUGCCUGUCCGA
This 155-nucleotide non-coding RNA is filed under the name uncultured Selenomonas sp. The record is from RNAcentral. Lineage: Bacteria; Bacillati; Bacillota; Negativicutes; Selenomonadales; Selenomonadaceae.